Molecule: ribosomal RNA, 468 nt
Filed under: uncultured bacterium
Lineage: Bacteria
Description: partial 16S ribosomal RNA
Rfam family: Bacterial small subunit ribosomal RNA
Source: RNAcentral
GACGAACGCUGGCGGCGUGCUUAACACAUGCCAGUCGAACGGAAAGGCCCUGCUUUUGUGGGGUGCUCGAGUGGCGAACGGGUGAGUAACACGUGAGUAACCUGCCCUUGACUUUGGGAUAACUUCAGGAAACUGGGGCUCAUACCGGAUAGGAGCUCCUGCUGCAUGGUGGGGGUUGGAAAGUUUCGGCGGUUGUGGAUGGACUCGCGGGUUAUCAGCUUGUUGGUGGGGUAGUGGCUUACCAAGGCUUUGACGGGUAGCCGGCCUGGGAGGGUGACCGGCCACAUUGGGACUGAGGUAGGGCCCAGACUCCUACGGGAGGCAGCAGUGGGGAGUAUUGCGCAAUGGGCGGAAGCCUGAUGCAGCAACGCCGCGUGCGGGAUGACGGCCUUCGGGUUGUAAACCGCUUUCGCCUGUGACGAAGCGUGAGUGACGGUAAUGGGUAAAGAAGCACCGGCUAACUACGUG